This 486-nucleotide ribosomal RNA is filed under the name uncultured bacterium. RNAcentral's name for it is "bacterial SSU rRNA". It matches the Rfam family "Bacterial small subunit ribosomal RNA", at positions 17 to 518 of the family's 1533-position model. The record is from RNAcentral.
UCCUGGCUUAGGACGAACGCUGGCGGCGUGCCUAACACAUGCAAGUCGAGCGAGGAGAUUCCUUCGGGAUGAUCCUAGCGGCGGACGGGUGAGUAACACGUGGGCAACCUGCCUCAUAGAGAGGAAUAGCCUUCCGAAAGGGAGAUUAAUACCUCAUAACAUUGCAGUUUCGCAUGGAACAGCAAUUAAAGGAGUAAUCCGCUAUGAGAUGGGCCCGCGGACGCAUUAGCUAGUUGGUGAGGUAACGGCUCACCAAGGCGACGAUGCGUAGCCGACCUGAGAGGGUGAUCGGCCACAUUGGGACUGAGACACGGCCCAGACUCCUACGGGAGGCAGCAGUGGGGAAUAUUGCACAAUGGGGGAAACCCUGAUGCCAGCAACGCCGCGUGAGUGAUGACGGCCUUCGGGUUGUAAAGCUCUGUCUUCAGGGACGAUAAUGACGGUACCUGAGGAGGAAGCCACGGCUAACUACGUGCCAGCCGCGGC